AACUCUAUUUACACGACGUCUCUUCUGAGUGGCACAAGCAAAUAAUUAAAACUUUUAACAACGGAUCUCUUGGUUCUGGCAUCGAUGAAAAACGCAGCGAAAUGCGAUAAGUAAUGUGAAUUGCAGAAUUCAGUGAAUCAUCGAAUCUUUGAACGCACAUUGCGCUCGCCAGCAUUCUGGCGAGCAUGCCUGUUCGAGCGUCAUUUCAACCCUCAAGCACCGCUUGGUUUUGGGGCCCCACGGCCGACGUGGGCCCUUAAAGGUAGUGGCGGACCCUCCCGGAGCCUCCUUUGCGUAGNUAACUAACGUCUCGCACUGGGAUCCGGAGGGACUCUUGCCGUUAAACCCCCAAAUUCUUUACAGGUUGACCUCGGAUCAGGUAGGAAUACCCGCUGAA
This 397-nucleotide ribosomal RNA is filed under the name Colletotrichum fioriniae. RNAcentral describes it as "eukaryotic LSU rRNA". The stretch from base 50 to 203 matches the Rfam family "5.8S ribosomal RNA". The record is from RNAcentral. Lineage: Eukaryota; Fungi; Ascomycota; Sordariomycetes; Glomerellales; Glomerellaceae.